This 340-nucleotide unclassified non-coding RNA is filed under the name fungal sp. RNAcentral describes it as "partial internal transcribed spacer region". The stretch from base 1 to 46 matches the Rfam family "Eukaryotic small subunit ribosomal RNA", at positions 1786 to 1831 of the family's 1831-position model. The record is from RNAcentral. Lineage: Eukaryota; Fungi.
AAGUCGUAACAAGGUUUCCGUAGGUGAACCUGCGGAAGGAUCAUUAACACUUUGUUAUACCCAAUACCAACCCAAUGUGAACUGUAUCGUCCCUAUUCACGGCAAGUGAGCGAUUGGCUUCGGUCGAUUGCAAACGAGUCGUGCGAUAGACAAUACCCUCCUAGUAGUCAUCAGACGACUAGCACUCCGGUGUGAGUUGUCUUGGUGAUGAACGUAUUCACCACAUUAACCCUAUAACUUUAAACCUGACUAAUCUUCAUAAACUUAUCGACUGCCUCACGGCGGUUAGUAAGCUUUACGAAAUAUUGAACAACUCUUAGCAAUGGAUAUCUUGGGUCAU